CUUAGUGAUUAUUGCGGAGGGGGUACACCCGAUCCCAUUCCGAACUCGGAAGUUAAGCCCUCCAGCGCCGAUGGUACUGUCGGUAUAGCCGAUGGAAGAGCAGGACGUUGCUAAGC
RNAcentral lists this ribosomal RNA (116 nucleotides) under Coriobacteriia bacterium. The record is from RNAcentral. Lineage: Bacteria; Bacillati; Actinomycetota; Coriobacteriia.